Molecule: ribosomal RNA, 638 nt
Filed under: uncultured bacterium
Lineage: Bacteria
Description: bacterial SSU rRNA
Rfam family: Bacterial small subunit ribosomal RNA
Source: RNAcentral
UACAGUUUGAUCCUGGCUCAGAUUGAACGCUGGCGGCAUGCCUAACACAUGCAAGUCGAACGGAGGUAGGGGCAACUCUACUUCAGUGGCGGACGGGUGAGGAAUGCGUCGGAAUCUACCCUAUGGUGGGGGAUAACACAGGGAAACUUGUGCUAAUACCGCAUGAUGUCGAGAGACCAAAGCAGGGGACCGCAAGGCCUUGCGCGAUAGGAUGAGCCGACGCCCGAUUAGCUAGUUGGUAGGGUAAUGGCCUACCAAGGCGACGAUCGGUAGCUGGUCUGAGAGGAUGAUCAGCCACACUGGGACUGAGACACGGCCCAGACUCCUACGGGAGGCAGCAGUGGGGAAUAUUGGACAAUGGGCGCAAGCCUGAUCCAGCAAUGCCGCGUGUGUGAGGAAGGCCUGCGGGUUGUAAAGCACUUUUGUUCGGGAAGAAAACGGAUCGGUUAAUACCCGGUUCGGAUGACGGUACCGAAAGAAUAAGCACCGGCUAACUUCGUGCCAGCAGCCGCGGUAAUACGAAGGGUGCAAGCGUUAAUCGGAAUUACUGGGCGUAAAGCGUGCGUAGGCGGCUUUUUAAGUCGGAUGUGAAAUCCCCGGGCUCAACUGGGAAUGGCAUCCGAUACUGGGGAGUCAGA